This 353-nucleotide unclassified non-coding RNA is filed under the name soil metagenome. RNAcentral describes it as "partial contains 5.8S ribosomal RNA, internal transcribed spacer 2, and large subunit ribosomal RNA". The stretch from base 3 to 121 matches the Rfam family "5.8S ribosomal RNA", at positions 36 to 154 of the family's 154-position model. The record is from RNAcentral.
GAAUGAAGAACGUAGCGAAAUGCGAUAAGUAAUGUGAAUUGCAGAAUUCAGUGAAUCAUCGAAUCUUUGAACGCACAUUGCGCCCGCCAGUAUUCUGGCGGGCAUGCCUGUUCGAGCGUCAUUACAACCCUCAGGCCCCCGGGCCUGGCGUUGGGGAUCGGCGGAGCCCCCCGUGGGCACACGCCGUCCCCCAAAUGCAGUGGCGGUCCCGCCGCAGCUUCCAUCGCGUAGUAGCUAACACCUCGCGACUGGAGAGCGGCGCGGCCACGCCGUAAAACACCCAACUCUUCUGAAGUUGACCUCGAAUCAGGUAGGAAUACCCGCUGAACUUAAGCAUAUCAAUAAGCGGAGGA